Molecule: long non-coding RNA, 2066 nt
Organism: Ostrea edulis (European flat oyster)
Lineage: Eukaryota; Metazoa; Mollusca; Bivalvia; Ostreida; Ostreidae
Exons: 3
Source: RefSeq, a predicted model, not a curated record
CUGGUUAUGACAGGCUAUUGAAAAAGCAUUUAAUUAUAUGAUCCAUACAUGCUGGUGUGCUAUGAGCUGAUGGGCAUGCGCCCACUUCUUGCUUAGAUUUUCUCUAAUUUCGACUAAAUCCACACUCCAUCAGAGUACCAUGCCAGGGGGUUUAGACACUGUGUACAAUGAAGAACCAAUUCAAUUCUACUUUAAAUCUGGCCAUUCAAUUUCCCUCAGGGCACAAUAUUUUCGCUGGACACUGUAUAUUUUAACCUGAAUUUCUUCAGUAUUUGCUCCCAUGUAUAUGUUGGGCAUAAUGCUAACACCUCCAUGAUCCUUAGUGGGUUUUUUUUUUCAAUACGCACUCUGUUACACUCGCAAAGUAUAAUGAAAUAUUCCAUUCAUUUGAUUUCUAACAUAUGUAUGUAAUCCCUUACCAAAUAGCACUUCAAAUGUAGGACAUCUCUAUCUUUAAAUAAAUAUGACCAGUACUUUCGUGCGAAACUGUCCCUUACUAUCAUAAAGCUUAUAUUCUGCUUUAAAACACAAAACAAUAAUUCUUAAUUGUAUUUUUUCAUCUUUAAAAAGGUUAUUGACAUCCCGAUAUUUAGUGGGAAGCUUCCAGGUAUCUUCCACUAGUGACAGUCUACUGGCAAAUCCAGACAUGCAUUGGAAGUAUGUUGAUGUGGAGGACACAGGGACACCUGAUCCAAGAACUGUGGCAUUUCAUUCGGAGUGACAACCUGGCAUUCAGUUGAUAUGGGACCUGAUUAUUAAGAGAAUUGCAGAUUUUAUGAAGCUGUUUUUGACAGAAGAUUUGGUUUUCUCCAUCUGUGUUGCCAUCAACCAUUAUGCUGUGAUGGUCAUAUCUAGGGGGAAGGAUUGUCAUAUGCUCCCCGAGGAAGUUCGAAGCCUCUCACUGAAGAGGAACUGUAUAGAUUGUUGGGCAUUAUCUUAUACAUGUCUGCUGAGAAGUUCCAGUCGAUAGACAGAUAUUGGUCAACGCAUGCCCCUAUCGGAGCAACCUAGUAUCAAAAAUUAUGUCUAGAAAUAUGUUUUAAGAGGUUGAAUAUAAGAACAAUUUUUAUUAAAUAUAAUGCAAGUACAUUUAAAUUUAGUGAUUGAAAGUAAGUACUUGAACAUUUGUAUACAUGUACAAUGAACUUGGGGAGGAAAAAUGGGCAUUAUUUUCGCAUAGCAUUUGAUAUCAUAAUGGUGUUGUUGCUUAGCAACCAAAUAUAUUUGAAUAUUAAAAAAAUAGAUAUAAAAAAAAAAAAAAAGAUCAUUUUAGAUUUUAACAGGAAAGAUCUUUGUUUUAAUGUUGCAAUAUUUAUACUAUUUAGUGGGAUACAAUGACAAAACAUCAUAUUAUUAGAAAAUGAUGAAUAUGUAUAUGAAGUAUGAAAUUUCCAUUUUAUGACCUUUGACCUUAAUUCUCUUCAUUAUGUUUUUUGUUAAAAACCUUUUAAAAUGAUUAAGAUCUAGUCAAAGAUUAUAUUUUUAAAAUAAUGUGACAUUUACUAAUCAUCAUGCAGUGUAAUUAUGUUUGAAUUGUGUCGAAUGGAUGUAGAAAGGCAAAUUAUGGUCAAAAUUACACCAGGAGUGUUGUUACUUAGCAACCAAAAAUAUUUGUUUGUCAAUAAAAUUGAUUGUGAUGUUUUUGUAGUAUUUUAAAAGACACAUCAGCUCAUACAUUUAGAAUUUCCUAUUUUUGACUCGAAUCUAGUGGUAGGGGUCGUAAUAUUUAUAUUCCAGAGAAAAAAAAUUGCAAAAAUGUGCACUUAAAUGACCUUUGAACCCGUAGAACUCUUUGGGGUCAUGGGAUAACAUGAAAAACUUUAUGAAAAAAAAGUUCCCUGUCCAAUUCAUAACAAAAUUAUAUGUCGCAUGCCUACCUAAAAUCGUGAUACAUGCAGAUGUAACUCGAUUUAAAAAUAUUGUCAUUUAGUCUUUAAAAACCUCCAAAAUGUGUCGGUAGAGAAAGGGUUAAACUGAUAAAAGUUAUUGUUAAAAAUAAAAUUAUUGUUAGUUUCUAAAUGAAAUUGAAAGUAUAUAAUAAAAAGGUUAUAGACUUUGUAUGGGAA